GUAGUCGGAUUCACAUCAAUCCACAUGUAUUGGGGUGGGUUGGAGUGGAACCUAAAUUCCACCCCAAUCCACUCCAACACAUGUGGAUUGAGGUGAAUCCGACA
Molecule: microRNA precursor, 104 nt
Organism: Sorghum bicolor (sorghum)
Lineage: Eukaryota; Viridiplantae; Streptophyta; Magnoliopsida; Poales; Poaceae
Rfam family: MIR5565 microRNA precursor family
Source: Rfam